AGGGAACGCUGGCGGGAGGCCUAACACAUGCAAGUCGAACGGCAGCACAGGGAGUGCUUGCGCUUACGGGUGGCGAGUGGCGGACGGGUGCGGAAUACAUCGGAAUCUACUUUUUCGUGGAGGAUAACGUAGGGAAACUUACGCGAAUACCGCAUACGACCCACGGGUGAAAGCAGGGGAUCUUUGGACCUUGCGGGAUUGAAAGAGCCGAUGUCGGAUUAGCUAGAUGGCGGGGUAGAGGCCCACCAAGGCCACGAUCGGUAGCUGGUCUGAGAGGAUGUACACCCACACUGUAACUGAGACACGGUCCACACUCUUGCGGGAGGCAGCAGUGCAGAAUAUUACACAAUGGAGGAAAGCCUAAUACUGCCAUACCGCGUAGGUGAAGAAGGCCUUCGGCUUGUAAAGCCCUUUUGUUGGGAAAGAAAAACAGCACUUUAACACCCCGCUGUUCUGACGGUACCCAAAGAAUAAGCACCGGCUAACUCCGUG
RNAcentral lists this ribosomal RNA (492 nucleotides) under uncultured bacterium. Its description in RNAcentral is "partial 16S ribosomal RNA". It matches the Rfam family "Bacterial small subunit ribosomal RNA", at positions 31 to 507 of the family's 1533-position model. The record is from RNAcentral.